UCACUUGCAGCAUUUGGUCUGAAAUGAGUCUGGAGCGGAGGAACCAAACCCUAGGGGCGUAUCUGUAAAUUACAGAAGGAUAACUCUCUAUCCUAGCCCGUCAGCUAACUUCGUAGGCGUUGAGAGGAGACUGA
This 134-nucleotide small RNA is filed under the name Gloeocapsa. RNAcentral describes it as "sp. c-di-AMP sequence". It matches the Rfam family "c-di-AMP riboswitch aptamer (ydaO/yuaA leader)". From Rfam's summary of the family: This family represents a conserved RNA structure found upstream of the ydaO and yuaA genes in Bacillus subtilis and related genes in other bacteria. The ydaO/yuaA element is thought to act as a genetic "off" switch for the ydaO and yuaA genes in its native state. It is believed that the element may be triggered during osmotic shock leading to activation of ydaO, a predicted amino acid transporter gene, and members of the yuaA-yubG operon which code for KtrA and KtrB K+ transporters. Lineage: Bacteria; Bacillati; Cyanobacteriota; Cyanophyceae; Chroococcidiopsidales; Chroococcidiopsidaceae. The record is from RNAcentral.